GGCCUGGUGGCGUAGUCGGUUAGCGCGUCGUGCUAAUAACGUGAAGGUCAUGAGUUCGAUCCUCUUUCGGGCCA
Molecule: transfer RNA, 74 nt
Filed under: Hofstenia miamia
Lineage: Eukaryota; Metazoa; Xenacoelomorpha; Acoela; Hofsteniidae
Description: tRNA-Ile for anticodon AAU
Rfam family: tRNA
About the family: Transfer RNA (tRNA) molecules are approximately 80 nucleotides in length. Their secondary structure includes four short double-helical elements and three loops (D, anti-codon, and T loops).
Source: RNAcentral